UGUGACCAACCACAUGGAGACUACUAACGGC
RNAcentral lists this non-coding RNA (31 nucleotides) under Rattus norvegicus (Norway rat). The record is from RNAcentral. Lineage: Eukaryota; Metazoa; Chordata; Mammalia; Rodentia; Muridae.